This 338-nucleotide ribosomal RNA is filed under the name Citrobacter koseri. RNAcentral's name for it is "bacterial LSU rRNA". It matches the Rfam family "Bacterial large subunit ribosomal RNA", at positions 451 to 792 of the family's 2925-position model. The record is from RNAcentral. Lineage: Bacteria; Pseudomonadati; Pseudomonadota; Gammaproteobacteria; Enterobacterales; Enterobacteriaceae.
GACCAUCCUCCAAGGCUAAAUACUCCUGACUGACCGAUAGUGAACCAGUACCGUGAGGGAAAGGCGAAAAGAACCCCGGCGAGGGGAGUGAAAAAGAACCUGAAACCGUGUACGUACAAGCAGUGGGAGCCUCUUUAUGGGGUGACUGCGUACCUUUUGUAUAAUGGGUCAGCGACUUAUAUUCUGUAGCAAGGUUAACCGCAUAGGGGAGCCGAAGGGAAACCGAGUCUUAACUGGGCGUUAAGUUGCAGGGUAUAGACCCGAAACCCGGUGAUCUAGCCAUGGGCAGGUUGAAGGUUGGGUAACACUAACUGGAGGACCGAACCGACUAAUGUUGA